AGGUGCUGCUGCCGCGGCCGCCAGGGAGGGAGGUGUCGGAGGGCGGGCCCCGCGCGGUGCUAGGGUUCCGUCUGGACUGGCGGUGGUGGGUCCCAACCGGCGGUACCGGGUUCCUUCCCGACCAGCGGUGCUAGGUUCGGUUCGGACGCGCGCUGCUGGAUCUAAAUGGGCAGUGCUGGGUCCGAUGGGUGGUGCUGUGUUGGGUCCGGACGCGCGGUGCAGAGUCCGGACGGGCGGUGCUGGAUCCAAAUGGGCGGUGCUGGAUCUGGACGGGCGGUGAUGGGUCCGAUGGGCGGUGCUAUGUUCGGUUCGGACGGGCGGUGCUAGGUCUAAAUGGGCGCUGCUGGGUCCGAUGGGCGGUGCUGCGUUCGGUCCGGACGGGCGGGGACGGGCGGUGCUGGGUCCAAAUGGGUGGUGAUGGAUCUGUGGACGGGCGGUGCUGGUUCCAGACGGGCGGUGCUGGGUCCAGACGGGCGGUGGGUCCGAUGGGCGGUGCUAGGUUCGGUUCGGAUGGGUGGUGCUAGGUCUAAAUGGGCGGCGCCGGAUCCGAUGGGCGGUGCUGGGUUCGGUCCGGACUGGCGGGUCCGGGUCUGGACGGGCGGUGCUGGAUCCAAAUGGGGGUGCAGUGCUGGAUCUGGACGGGCGGUGCUGGGUCCGAACGGGCGAUGGGUCCCAUGGGCGGUGCUAGGUUCGGUUCGGACUGGCGGUGCUGGGUCUAAAUGGGCGGCGCUGGGUCCGAUGGGUGGUACUGGGUCCGGACGGGCGGUUCUGGGUCUGGACGGGCGGUGCAGUAUCCAAAUGGGCGCUGCUGGGUCCGGACGGGCGGUGCUAGGUUCGGUCCGGACGGGUGGUGCUGGGUCUAAAUGGGCGGUGCUAGGCUCAGCAGGGGACCGGUGGGCGGCCCUGCGCUCCCCGCGCUCGCUGCUCCUCCUGCCCGCGCAUUGCCCCGGGGCUGCUGCGUGUUUCUUCCAGGGUGAUUCCUUUCCGCUGGGUCACUUCAAAGCCGACCUUUUCAAGCUGUUUUCUUCCGCGGAGGACACGUUGUUAGGCUUUGUGUGCAUUUCAAGGGUCAUGUUUUCUGAACCGCGCUCUGCCGCUCUUGGGGUGUUCGAGCCCCCACACUGCUGUGCGGUGUUCCUCUCACAGAGUGAGGUUGGAGGGUCCCACUCCCUUUGUGUGUCUCCUUAGAAAACGCCUCUUCUCUCAGACACAUCGUUAUCUGCCAAUUCUUCGCAGACGUAGAGAACGGACUGCAGAGUUAAUAAACGUCGAGGGGAAGCUUUGAUGCGCCCCAUUUGGCCCUGAGAGAUGCCACGUGAUCGUCAUUUUAAAUCCUUUCCUGGGCUUCCCGAUGGACUCGAGUUUUUACUAUGUGAGCAUCCCGGUGCCUGCACAGCAAGGACUCUCAUUGGGUUCCACACGUGCUGCGCAGAUCCCUGACGCAGCGUUCACUGAACCUCAACUGCAGGAGCUUCAUUCCUGAGGACGCUGUUACCAAGAAUGACUUGCCUCUUGAAGAAUGAGUUUGCAAAGCCGGCAGUUAGAUUGCUGAUGUCCAAAGACAUGAAAAUUUCCAGGCUGACAAAUAAUUUCGCUGUCAUCGGUCAAGACUCCAGGAUGAUAUUCUGAGCCAUAUGUUAAUUUUGAUAACCACCUAGAACAAUAAAAGGUAAACAUGCUACCAUCUUCUAUUCUCAUUGCACCACUGGAUUCUGGUACAUCUAAAAAUUGUACUUAAAUGAUAUCCAAGAAAUGCUGUAAAAAACAAAAUAGGGCCGGGCGCAGUGGCUCACACCUGUAAUCCCAGCAUUUUGGGAGGCCAAGGCGGGCAGAUCACGAGGUCAGGAGAUCAAGACCAUCCUGGCUAACACGGUGAAACCCCGUCUCUACUAAAAAUACAAAAAAAAAAAAAAUUAGCCGGGCAUGGUUGUGGGUGCCUGUAGUUCCAGCUACUCAGGAGGCUGAGGCAGGAGAAUGACGUGAACCCGGGAGGCGGAGGUUGCAGUGAGCUGAGACCGCGCCACUGCACUCCAGCCUGGGCGACAGAGCAAGACUCUGUCUCAAAAUAAAUAAAUAAAUAAAAGAAUGGGCUUUUCUGUUAUUAAUUCCAUUUUAUACAUGGUGAGACUGAAAUGCAAGAUAAAGGACUGGACUGAAGCUAAACAAACCUGCACUGGGCGAGGUUGAAAAAGACCUUUUUAAUCUAUAAGUCGGUUUUUGAAAAUUCAAGUUUCUACUUUAUAAUUUUAGUUUUCCUUUUAAACGUAUAUUAUUGUUAGUUGCACUGUUCAAAAAGUUUUACAGCUUCUAUUUCAAUCAGCACUGGUAUACUAAUAUUUUUAAGUAUCUCCUAUCUAAAACCAAAAUCUACGUAAAACCUAAAAGUACCAGGUAAUAGAGGACAACAGAGCAAGACUGUCUCUUAAAAAAAGAAGUAUCACAUAAUAGGAAUAAAUAUGAGGACAGAAAGUAAUAAUAUUUUUGAAUUUCUGAUUAAACUUUGCACUUACUUUAAAAUUUUUUUCGAAAUAUUAUGAAAACCAGGUUCUGAGACCAGCCACAUGAAAUAAACCUUUUCCUGCCCCAAUUUUCACAGCCUCUAGAAAAUAGUAGGUACCAGGGAAAAGAUUAAUACAUCUAAAAAAAAAAAGAUACAAAUAUAUCAACUAUGUUUAACUAUAUCAACUAUAUUUAGUACCCUAGGUCAUUUAAUUUUCUAGCCACCAAUAAAUUCCAUAUUUUAUUAAAUUAAUCAAAUUUUGAAAAGUGUCAAUAUUACUGUAUAAAUCAUCUUACAAGUCCUUUUAGUAGAUAUAUCAAUUUAGAGGAUGGUCUUUAGCAAAAAAAGUAAAGGAAAAGGAUUUAAUAAAGGUCCAAUAGCAGACCUUCUAGGGCAGGCAGCCUUCUAUAGUAGCCCAUGCAUGUGAAAGUUAAUCUAAUUAGUUGAUCUAUAAAGUUAAAUAACCAAACUCUCCUUUGCUUAACCCAUUGCUAGAAAGGCCAGUGUUGUUAAUUUCAUUUUUUAAACAAACAAGCAAAAAAAAUUCUAGAGGAUGAGUUUUUCAUAAGUAGGGUAUGUGCUACUUUAUUGGAAAAUGAAGAAAUAUAUCUUUCAACUCUGCUUCCUUCAUUGCUUUCCCGUGUUCCUAAUAUUUAGUCACAUUUUAGGUUAGAACUUUCAGGAAGUGAGUUUUUACACAGAAAUUAGUGCUAUAAACAGCCCUUAAAAUGGGAAUUUAAUCGUACUUAUUUAAAAUAUAUAUGUAUAUAAUCUUACCAACCCAGAAAGACAUGUUCUCUGGCAUUUUAUAAACUAAGAUGCUACUGGAAGGAAAAAGCUAAAUCUGAAAUACACAAACAACAUAUUUACACUGUGAUAUGGUUUAGAUCUGUAUGCCAAAGCUGAAUCUCAUGUCAGAUUGUAAUCUCCAAUGUUGGAGAUGGGGCCUAGGAGGAGGUGAUUGGAUUGGAUCAUGGGGGCGGAUUUCCUCCUUUGGUGCUAUUCUGGUGAUGGAGUUCUCACUAAAUCUUGUUGUUUAAAAGUGUGUGGUACCUCCCUUCCCCAGCUUCCUCCUGUUCCAGCCAGGUAAGACAUGUCUGCUUCCCCUUUGCCUUCUGCCAUGAUUGUAAGUUUCCUGAGGCCUCCCCAGCCAUGCUUCCUGUACAGCCUGCAGAACCAUGAGCCAAUUAAACCUCUUUUCUUUAUAAAUUACCUAGUCUCAGGUAUUUCUUUAUAGCAAUGCAAGAAUGGAAUGGACUAAUACACACUGAAUGCAAAGAAAUGAAAUGGUUGUGUGUGUGUGUGUGUGUGUGUGUGUGUGUGUGUGUAUGGAAGGUAUUAGAAGGGGAUUAUACCGUAAACAUGGGUCACUUACCUUUUACUGUGUUGGAGAAUUGCUUUGCACUAUCUUCUUUUUAUUCAGUACAUGUUGCAGACUAAGUUAAAAUGUGAUCAUAUAUAUCCUGAAAAUAAUGAAAGAAUAUCAGGCUGUGAGUAGAUUUGUGAAAGGGCGUCUCCCCUGCCUGCCUCCUUGUCCUCCUUUCCGCAUUCUGUCCAUCCUCAGCCGUGCGAGGUGUCGCUGCAUGCUGCUCUGGAAGUGCUCUCACUUCCAGAAUUUCUCCGUCCAGUGGCCCAUUUCGUCAGUUUCGGUUUCCCACUUUGAAAACCGAUCAACUGGCCGGGCGCGGUGGCUCACGUCUGUAAUCCCAGCACUUUGGUAGGCCGGGAUGGGCAGAUCACGAGGUCAGGAGAUCGAGACCAUCCUGGCUAACAGGGUGAAACCCCGUCUCUACUAAAAAAUACAAAAAAUUAGCCGGGCGUGGUGGCGGGCGCCUGUAGUCCCAGCUACUCCGGAGGCUGAGGCAGGA
Molecule: long non-coding RNA, 4368 nt
Filed under: Homo sapiens (human)
Lineage: Eukaryota; Metazoa; Chordata; Mammalia; Primates; Hominidae
Description: non-protein coding AFDN-DT:14
Source: RNAcentral